Molecule: ribosomal RNA, 711 nt
Filed under: Bacillus sp. Sb4-23
Lineage: Bacteria; Bacillati; Bacillota; Bacilli; Caryophanales; Bacillaceae
Description: partial 16S ribosomal RNA
Source: RNAcentral
UUACUAGCGAUUCCAGCUUCACGCAGUCGAGUUGCAGACUGCGAUCCGAACUGAGAACAGAUUUGUGGGAUUGGCUUAACCUCGCGGUUUCGCUGCCCUUUGUUCUGUCCAUUGUAGCACGUGUGUAGCCCAGGUCAUAAGGGGCAUGAUGAUUUGACGUCAUCCCCACCUUCCUCCGGUUUGUCACCGGCAGUCACCUUAGAGUGCCCAACUGAAUGCUGGCAACUAAGAUCAAGGGUUGCGCUCGUUGCGGGACUUAACCCAACAUCUCACGACACGAGCUGACGACAACCAUGCACCACCUGUCACUCUGCCCCCGAAGGGGAAGUCCUAUCUCUAGGAUUGUCAGAGGAUGUCAAGACCUGGUAAGGUUCUUCGCGUUGCUUCGAAUUAAACCACAUGCUCCACCGCUUGUGCGGGCCCCCGUCAAUUCCUUUGAGUUUCAGUCUUGCGACCGUACUCCCCAGGCGGAGUGCUUAAUGCGUUAGCUGCAGCACUAAGGGGCGGAAACCCCCUAACACUUAGCACUCAUCGUUUACGGCGUGGACUACCAGGGUAUCUAAUCCUGUUCGCUCCCCACGCUUUCGCUCCUCAGCGUCAGUUACAGACCAGAGAGUCGCCUUCGCCACUGGUGUUCCUCCACAUCUCUACGCAUUUCACCGCUACACGUGGAAUUCCACUCUCCUCUUCUGCACUCAAGUUCCCCAGUUU